RNAcentral lists this transfer RNA (75 nucleotides) under Verrucomicrobiota bacterium. Its description in RNAcentral is "Verrucomicrobia bacterium tRNA-Val". It matches the Rfam family "tRNA". From Rfam's summary of the family: Transfer RNA (tRNA) molecules are approximately 80 nucleotides in length. The record is from RNAcentral. Lineage: Bacteria; Pseudomonadati; Verrucomicrobiota.
GGGCGAUUAGCUCAAUGGUAGAGCGCCUCGUUUACACCGAGGAUGUCACAGGUUCAAAUCCUGUAUCGCCCACCA